RNAcentral lists this ribosomal RNA (488 nucleotides) under uncultured bacterium. Its description in RNAcentral is "partial 16S ribosomal RNA". It matches the Rfam family "Bacterial small subunit ribosomal RNA", at positions 28 to 507 of the family's 1533-position model. The record is from RNAcentral.
GACGAACGCUGGCGGCGUGCUUAACACAUGCAAGUCGAACGGAAAGGCCCUGCUUUUGUGGGGUGCUCGAGUGGCGAACGGGUGAGUAACACGUGAGUAACCUGCCCUUGACUUUGGGAUAACUUCAGGAAACUGGGGCUAAUACCGGAUAGGAGCUCCUGCUGCAUGGUGGGGGUUGGAAAGUUUCGGCGGUUGGGGAUGGACUCGCGGCUUAUCAGCUUGUUGGUGGGGUAGUGGCUUACCAAGGCUUUGACGGGUAGCCGGCCUGAGAGGGUGAACGGCGCCACUAGAACGGAGACACGGGCCAGACGCCUACGGGAGGGAGCAGUAGGGAAUCUGCCGCAACGGGGGGAAGCCUGACGGAGCAGCGGCGCGUGAGUGAUGAAGUUCUUCGGAGCGUAAAACUCUGUUAUUAGGGAAGAACAUAUGUGUAAGGAACUGUGCACAUCUUGACGGGACCGAAUAAGAAAGCCACGGCUAACUACGUG